This 117-nucleotide long non-coding RNA is filed under the name Octodon degus (degu). Its description in RNAcentral is "ST7 antisense RNA 1 conserved region 1 (ENSODEG00000022900.1)". It matches the Rfam family "ST7 antisense RNA 1 conserved region 1". Lineage: Eukaryota; Metazoa; Chordata; Mammalia; Rodentia; Octodontidae. The record is from RNAcentral.
AAUCAUUCCAGGGAUUAUCUAUAUUAAAAAUAAGCUGAGAGUUGUCUGAAUUUUUUUUUAUAAAGGAUAAAUACUGUACUCAUUUUAUGUUGUCAAAAUAGCUCUGGAAACCCCCUC